This 774-nucleotide ribosomal RNA is filed under the name uncultured Neocallimastigales. Its description in RNAcentral is "partial large subunit ribosomal RNA". It matches the Rfam family "Eukaryotic large subunit ribosomal RNA", at positions 24 to 646 of the family's 3401-position model. The record is from RNAcentral. Lineage: Eukaryota; Fungi; Neocallimastigomycota; Neocallimastigomycetes; Neocallimastigales.
UAGUCUCGCACAGAUGCAUAUCAAUAAGCGGAGGAAAAGAAACUAACAAGGAUUCCCCUAGUAACGGCGAGUGAAGCGGGAAGAGCUCAAAUUUGAAAUCUUAAAGGGUUUCCCUUUACGAAUUGUAGUUUAAAGAAGUGUUUUCUGUUGAGGUUUUGGUAAAAGUUCUUUGGAAUAGGACAUCAUAGAGGGUGAGAAUCCCGUAUUUGACCUUUACUUUCAACUUUGUGAUACACUUUCAAAGAGUCGGAUUGUUUGGGAAUGCAGUCCAAAAUGGGUGGUAAAUUUCAUCUAAAGCUAAAUAUUGGCGAGAGGACCGAUAGCGAACAAGUACCGUGAGGGAAAGAUGAAAAGAACUUUGAAAAGAGAGUUAAACAGUACGUGAAAUUGUCAAAAGGGAAGCGUUUGACACCAGUGUUGUUUUUCUGAAAAUCAAUUAAAGAACUGUUUAUGCUAAGUUGUUUAGACUUUAUCAGCUAACUGUUUAGUUUUGAGCUUUUCUUUAAUGCACUUUUCAGUUAACAAGUCAACAUCAAUUUCUUUUGCUGUAAAAAAGCUUGAGGAAGGUGGCUUGAGAUUCGUCUUAAGUGUUUAUAGCCUCUUGCCUAUGCAGUCGGAGAGAUUGAGGUCUGCAGCGUAGAUCCUUCGGGGCUAAAUGCAUUUGUGCUAAGUUAUAACAUUUUAUAGACAACUUGUUGACUAUGAUUUGUCUUGUAGCUUACUCGCUUAUGUUAUUUUACCUACGCUUAGGAUGUUGAUCUGUAGUGCGUGCGC